GGUGCGGCUGGGGACACGGCCUGCACCCCCGAAACACCUAAGGGCGCUUCUGAAGCAGCCGCAGGCAGGUGAGUGAGUCGCAGGAGCAGUAGGUUGACCGUGCGGAGAAGCUGACCGCUCUGCAGAGACCUCCCUGGUGGUUCCCCAAAAUCCCCAGGUCGUGUGUCCCCGGGGGGGGCUUCCUUCCUGGGAAGCGAUUCCAGUGGGGCCUGCCAGCGAGGGCCUCAGAGGUGGCAGGACGCGGGGUAGCGGGUGACCAGCCGGGUGUCGGGCGGCCCUGAGCUGGGAGGGGAGCCACGGGGCCGAUGCUCCGACCCCCCCCCGGAGGCGGCCACUCGAAACCUCCUGACGCGAAGAACCCCUAACGGGCUCUGCGUUUCCCUCGGUAACGAGAUACAAACACGUGGUCCACGUUGUCCCCGUUCCUGCUUGAAGGGGCGAGGACUGUUUCUGGAGCCCUAAAUCUCUAUGAGGCCCCGCGGCCCCGCGCUAGAUGUGCUCAUUCUAUCAAUUCCUAUUUAAAUUCGAAACCAGUAACAAAAUGAAAAACAGUUGUUAACACCGCAUGAACUCAUAAUUGUAACGUUAGAAGCCUCGAGCAACGUGUAGAAAUGUUAUUGAAACAUUUUUUUGUUUGCUACCCUUUCUGUGGUAAAUUCCUUUGCAGCAUUUUCCAAGCAGAUGUAGCAGUGGAAACUGAGUCGAAAUUUCUGGAGAAAAAUUUCAGGAAUUUUUCUGGUACUUGUGGGUUGACCUUCCGGCUGUAAGGAACCCACGCCUUGGCAAGGUGGAGACGUAGGAGGGGGCUACUUCAUGUGCCCUGGAGCCUGCUGGCCCAGCUGAGUCCUGGAGGCAUCCGGGUUAAGGCCAAGGCCAGGCCUGGCACGUCCCGACCGUCAGCGGCAGCCCCGAGCCCAGGAGGCAGCAGAGGAGCGCGACUAGAAGGAGCCCGAGGGCCCGGAGGGAGAAGAGACAUUGGGAGAGACUGGGAAGCGGGGCUCCCGUGGCCUCCGAUGUGAAGAGCAGCAUCAGUGGUCCACUCAGCCCCGUGUUCCCAACAACGUCUUAGCUCGUGGGACAAAAAUAAUUGUUAAUCGAUCUUGAAUAUUGCCAGGUACCUGAGGACUUGCCCCUCUCCUGCCAGCUCCUGGGGGACUUCGCCGUGAGCGUGUCUCUGACGUCGCUCUGCAGACUGGAAAGGACUUCAGACCUGGAUCGCAGGGACGGUGGGAGGGGCGCCCCCGGCAUCCCCAGUUCUCGGGUCAGGAGCCUGAGGCCUCGGCAGGGCAUGUUAGAGGAACAGGUCACCUCUAACCUGUGAGAAAAAAGAAAAAAGGUCACCAUGAGAAUCAAGCUAAAGAAGAAACAAAUAGUCCAACAUAUGAGCUUUUUGGGGCAUAACGUGGGAUAAAGAUCAAUAGCUACUCCGUUGGUUGGAAAGAUUUCUGUGGUCCCGUGUGGACGGUGUAUGUUGUGUAACUAUUACGAAAGUGAAUUUCAAGACCCGACAUUUCUGCCCUGGACAUCUUACUCUUCACAUUUUAUUUUGCAUCCGCUCUGCUUAUUUAAUUAUAUUUUAAUAGUUCUCUCUAUCUCGCGUCUGUCUUGAAAGACCUCUCCUGUUGAUUAUCCUGUGAGCGUGUUUUGAGACACGGUGUCUCCUUGGGGAGUCUUUCUCCGCUCCUAAAGCCAUAACAACGUGAACUAAGCAAUAAAAAGCCAAUUCCCUCCCCUUGGUUGUGCUUCGCAUAGUCAUUUCUUUGAUACGGGCUAAUAAAAACAGGAAAAGGAUCAUUUUUGAAUGCUUUGGUUGGGGUUGCUUUGCUUCCAAUAAGGAAAAUUGCCUCACAUGGGGGAGCACGGGUAAUAAAGAUACAGCUAAGUGAGUAAUUGUGUUCAGUCUAAUGUCAGAAUCCCCAGGCUGCCGCCUGCAAAUCUAAUUUAAUCUUGGGAUUGCUGUGUGUCCACCGUGGUGCGUAGCUGUGAGCCUGCUGCUGCUCCCCAUCGCCUCUCCACAGCUACUGAAGAUGAAUUUCAGAUGCUACUGCAGAUUUUUGAUGUGGGUGGGGCCCUUCUCCCUUAGUGAUGUUUGCAAGUUAACAAAAGGGCUCUGGAUGUUGACCAAGAGUGAAGGAUGGAACACAGUGAUGGGUAUUGUGGUGGCGGAAGUGACCGUAGGCCACCUUACAGAGAGACGGAGGCGCGGGGAGAGGAAACCGCUUCGCUCGAGUCCUGCAGGUUGCAAGGCUUUAGGACACGAUCGUUGACUUUCUUCGUCCGGCUGCCUCCAAUCCAUGUCUUUCCUCCUCAUCGUGCUUUGCACCCCUUUCUUCUUACUUUAAGACAAUUGGGGGUGAGUGUCCUCUCUGCUGUACCUCCCUAUCCGGUAGCUCCUGUGGGACCGACCCCCUCAGACCCUCCGCUCAACAGGGUCUUGGCACUGAUGACUCAUGGCCCGAUGCCUCUCCAGAAAUUAUUCUCACCCAAGGCAAAGGAGCAGCUCCCAUCACAUGACUGAUUGAGGCAGGGAUAUUGUUUGGGAUGCUUGGAAUGGCCCUCUGGGGUCCAAGGUCCCCACGGACGCAGCUGAGACAGACCAUCAUCUGUCCGUCCACUCUGCUUUCCCAAGCGUGCUCCUGAGGGUGAGUCCCAAGAAACUGCCCCUGAAAUCAUCACAGAGGAUGAUUUACCAGGACACCCAACCUAAGACGAUGGAGAGGUUGGACCAGGGUGCUCUUCUGGCAGGGGUCAAGGGCAGGAUGGCCCUGCUGGGAGAACCGUCUUCUUCCUGGGAACCCCGGUGGUCCUGACGGGAGAGUCUCCAGCUGAGAGGUGAGAGACCUGCACCGCUUCUGUGCCUGGGGACCUGGUCUCAUCCUUCCACUUACAGAUCAGGAAAGCAAGCCCCGUUCCCUAAAGAAACGUGACCAACAGCACAUUGCUAGCUGGCAGGAGGAGCUACAGCAAGCCCGGGGGGCCUGUCUGCUGCUGCCGGUGCGGAUCUGGGAGGGCCAUUUUGGAAUUUGUUCCAAGUUGUGCUGCUGUAACUCAUUGACUGCAGAUGGGUCUAGAAACCAUUCAUCUGUCUGACCCAUUUGUUCAGCUCUGGCCCAGAAAUCUCAAUUCCUACACGGCCUUACCUUGCGAACUGUCUACCGUCCUUUGAAGAGCGAUCGCUGAAGCUCACCAGGGUUGGUCCUAGAAUAGGUGGAGAAGAAGAGAUGGUGUAGCAGAAACAGAUGGUCCUGGUUGUUUUUGCCUGAAAUCAGCAUUUCGUGUUAACUGGCUAUUAAGAGGAUUGGGAACUUGGCAAAGGCUUACUACAUGAUAGAGCGGCGGCAAGUACACAUUCAUUAGACAGAUGAAACAUGCGGCAGUGGGUUGAAGCAGUCAUAAGCUAGAUGAAAAAUGACUACAAAUUAAUAUGUGGUCUCAUGAUCAUCCUAAAUAGUUUAUUAGUCAUUUUAUUAUGCUCAAAUAAUGUUCCAUGGAGAUUAUCAAACCAUUAUAAGCUCAGAGUCACGAUCCUGAGAAAUUUGGAAGUAAUUGAAAAGCAAAUUAUUGGUUUACUAUUAUUGCUACUAUAAGGAUUCGGAUUUUAUAUAGUUUCCUUGGCGUAAUUAACCAGCUACUCUUCCUGAAAACGUUCUUUGAGCCCCAUUGUCUGUAAAUUAAGUCAAAAUAUAUUUUAUUUGGUAUUCAA
This is a long non-coding RNA of Canis lupus familiaris (dog), 3703 nucleotides long. RefSeq lists it as uncharacterized. The record is from RefSeq and is a predicted model, not a curated record. The transcript has 4 exons. Lineage: Eukaryota; Metazoa; Chordata; Mammalia; Carnivora; Canidae.